UCUUAUAUGCUAGAAAAUUCUCUCUUCUUGUACUAAAAAGAGAGAGAAAUAAAUAAAUAAACAAUGAAACCCCUCCAAAGCUCUCUAUAUAUAAUGAGUCUUCUAUAGGUUUAGGGUCGUAUGGUGUGAUCUCUCCCCCUCUCUUUCUCUCUCUUUUUCUCUCUGAAUUUUCUUGGUGAUUAUCCAUGCAUUCAAGAAGGAUUUGAGGCUUGUGAUCUCUCCCCCUCUCCUUCUCUCUGCAUUUUCUUGGUGAUUACCAUGCAUUCAAGAAGGAUUUGAGGCUACUGCUGAAGAAGAAAAGGUUGCAACAACUUCAUUCUUCCUGCAUCAAAUGGACAUAUUCCAGAGUAAAUUGUGCAAUCCAUUGGCAAGGAGUGUCAAAGACAUCGAUCAAUUCCCUUGAUACCAUUAUCACAAAUUUACUUCUUGUUUCCCAUCUCGUUCGAGCCAAGCUGCAAAAGAGCCUAAAUUUUAGAGAGACACAGAACAACAUUGCUAUUCCCAAACUACCCUUAGACUGUAUUUUUGUCUGUAAAACUAAUUUACUAUUCAUGAUGAAUACAUUGCUCUUUUAUAGUA
Quercus lobata is the source of this 579-nucleotide long non-coding RNA. RefSeq lists it as uncharacterized. NCBI's taxonomy places the organism in Eukaryota, Viridiplantae, Streptophyta, Magnoliopsida, Fagales, Fagaceae. The record is from RefSeq and is a predicted model, not a curated record. The transcript is spliced from 2 exons.